CACAGGGCAUAAGAAGAGAGGAUUCCA
Molecule: non-coding RNA, 27 nt
Filed under: Cricetulus griseus (Chinese hamster)
Lineage: Eukaryota; Metazoa; Chordata; Mammalia; Rodentia; Cricetidae
Source: RNAcentral